UACGUAGGGUGCGAGCGUUGUCCGGAAUUAUUGGGCGUAAAGAGCUCGUAGGCGGUCUGUCGCGUCUGCUGUGAAAACCUAGGGCUUAACUCUGGGCGUGCAGUGGGUACGGGCAGGCUAGAGUGCGGUAGGGGAGACGUGGAAUUCCUGGUGUAGCGGUGAAAUGCGCAGAUAUCAGGAGGAACACCGGUGGCGAAGGCGGGUCUCUGGGCCGUAACUGACGCUGAGGAGCGAAAGCAUGGGGAGCGAACAGG
This 254-nucleotide ribosomal RNA is filed under the name uncultured bacterium. Its description in RNAcentral is "partial 16S ribosomal RNA". It matches the Rfam family "Bacterial small subunit ribosomal RNA", at positions 524 to 776 of the family's 1533-position model. The record is from RNAcentral.